RNAcentral lists this small RNA (106 nucleotides) under Fragilariopsis kerguelensis. RNAcentral's name for it is "partial transfer-messenger RNA". The record is from RNAcentral. Lineage: Eukaryota; Bacillariophyta; Bacillariophyceae; Bacillariales; Bacillariaceae.
AAAUAAUCACCAUAGAUACAAUAAAUGCAAAUAAUCAUCAUUACAAGCAUGCUUGAUUAUUCUGAGAAAAUUCUGUACUCUUUCUUCCUUCGUUUCAUUCAUGUUC